CCUACGGGCGGCAGCAGUGGGGAAUAUUGGACAAUGGGCGAAAGCCUGAUCCAGCCAUGCCGCGUGUGUGAAGAAGGCCUUCGGGUUGUAAAGCACUUUCAGUGGGGAAGAAAGCCUUGGGGCUAAUACCCUCGAGGAAGGACAUCACCCACAGAAGAAGCACCGGCUAACUCCGUGCCAGCAGCCGCGGUAAUACGGAGGGUGCGAGCGUUAAUCGGAAUUACUGGGCGUAAAGCGCGCGUAGGCGGUCUGAUAAGCCGGUUGUGAAAGCCCCGGGCUCAACCUGGGAACGGCAUCCGGAACUGUCAGGCUAGAGUGCAGGAGAGGAAGGUAGAAUUCCCGGUGUAGCGGUGAAAUGCGUAGAGAUCGGGAGGAAUACCAGUGGCGAAGGCGGCCUUCUGGACUAACACUGACGCUGAGGUGCGAAAGCGUGGGUAGCAAACAGGAUUAGAUACCCCAGUAGUC
This 465-nucleotide ribosomal RNA is filed under the name Vreelandella stevensii. Its description in RNAcentral is "partial 16S ribosomal RNA". It matches the Rfam family "Bacterial small subunit ribosomal RNA", at positions 338 to 795 of the family's 1533-position model. The record is from RNAcentral. Lineage: Bacteria; Pseudomonadati; Pseudomonadota; Gammaproteobacteria; Oceanospirillales; Halomonadaceae.